GGAUUUGCGCAUAAAGGAUAUCUGAGGUACAAUGCAGCUGUUCUUUGUUAAGAAGGACUACGGCGAUAAAGGCCUUACGAGAUAGGUGAUACGGACCCGGGGGCAGAACCCGGCACCUCCACCAAAGAUGAGGGGGUGAGUAGCUUCGACGUCCACUGAAGGGUAAGGUGUUCGCUCGGGAUGGUUCCGUCGUUAUCGGGCUAUAAACACAAAUGCGAACGAUACACUCGUCGCUCGUAAUGACAACGAUGCUGGGGCUGCUGUAUUAGCAGCCUAAGCUCUUAGCGUAAGCUAAAAGUUGUCUGAACGCGGUUUGGAGGGCACCGGGCAACAGAAGCCCUCCAUC
Molecule: transfer-messenger RNA, 346 nt
Filed under: Holosporales bacterium
Lineage: Bacteria; Pseudomonadati; Pseudomonadota; Alphaproteobacteria; Holosporales
Rfam family: Alphaproteobacteria transfer-messenger RNA
About the family: Bacterial tmRNA, also known as 10Sa RNA or SsrA, is named for its dual tRNA and mRNA-like properties.
Source: RNAcentral